RNAcentral lists this ribosomal RNA (300 nucleotides) under Lactobacillus delbrueckii subsp. bulgaricus. RNAcentral's name for it is "partial 23S ribosomal RNA". It matches the Rfam family "Bacterial large subunit ribosomal RNA", at positions 1872 to 2171 of the family's 2925-position model. The record is from RNAcentral. Lineage: Bacteria; Bacillati; Bacillota; Bacilli; Lactobacillales; Lactobacillaceae.
AAAGGUUAAGAGGAGAGCUUAGCGCAAGCGAAGGUUUGAAUUGAAGCCCCAGUAAACGGCGGCCGUAACUAUAACGGUCCUAAGGUAGCGAAAUUCCUUGUCGGGUAAGUUCCGACCUGCACGAAAGGUGUAAUGAUUUGGGCACUGUCUCAACGAGAGACUCGGUGAAAUUAUAAUACCCGUGAAGAUGCGGGUUACCCGCGACAGGACGGAAAGACCCCAUGGAGCUUUACUGCAGUUUAAUAUUGGGUAUCUGUCAAGCAUGUACAGGAUAGGUAGGAGCCGGAGAAGAUAGGACGC